AGAUUGAACGCUGGCGGCAUGCUUUACACAUGCAAGUCGAACGGUAACAGGCCGCAAGGUGCUGACGAGUGGCGAACGGGUGAGUAAUGCAUCGGAACGUGCCCAGUCGUGGGGGAUAACGCAGCGAAAGCUGUGCUAAUACCGCAUACGAUCUAUGGAUGAAAGCGGGGGACCGAAAGGCCUCGCGCGAUUGGAGCGGCCGAUGUCAGAUUAGCUAGUUGGUGGGGUAAAGGCCCACCAAGGCGACGAUCUGUAGCUGGUCUGAGAGGACGACCAGCCACACUGGAACUGAGACACGGUCCAGACUCCUACGGGAGCAGCAGUGGGGAAUUUUGGACAAUGGGCGCAAGCCUGAUCCAGCAAUGCCGCGUGCAGGAAGAAGGCCUUCGGUUGUAAACUGCUUUUGUACGGAACGAAACGGUCUAGGUUAAUACCGUCGGACUAAGUGACGUACCGUAAGAAUAAGCACCGGACUAACUACGUGCCAGCAGCCGUA
RNAcentral lists this ribosomal RNA (496 nucleotides) under uncultured soil bacterium. RNAcentral describes it as "bacterial SSU rRNA". It matches the Rfam family "Bacterial small subunit ribosomal RNA", at positions 26 to 519 of the family's 1533-position model. The record is from RNAcentral.